RNAcentral lists this ribosomal RNA (400 nucleotides) under uncultured bacterium. RNAcentral describes it as "bacterial LSU rRNA". It matches the Rfam family "Bacterial large subunit ribosomal RNA", at positions 1397 to 1718 of the family's 2925-position model. The record is from RNAcentral.
CGGGGCCGAGAGGCGUAGUCGAUGCACAACCGGUUGAUAUUCCGGUACCACCACAUGCGCGCCAAUUCCAAUCACAGGUUGCUAAGGGGCUGUCUCUGGCGUUUACGCCGUUGUACGAACCGACCCACCAGUAGGCGGAAAGCCGUAGGGGGACGCAGGAAGGUAGGUGAUCCCGGGCGAUGGUAGUCCCGGGGUAAGCGUGUAGGGCGAGGUCUAGGCAAAUCCGGACCUCACGAUGCCUGAGACGUGAUACGGACCCGCUUCAGGGGAAGUCACUGAUCCUAUGCUGCCGAGAAAAGCCCAGCGGUGAGUUCAUGUGGUGCCCGUACCCCAAACCAACACAGGUGGACAGGUAGAGAAUACCAAGGCGAUUGAGAUAACUCUGGUUAAGGAACUCGGC